UACGAAGGUGGCAAGCGUUACUCGGAAUUACUGGGCGUAAAGGGCAGGUAGGUGGUUCGAUAAGUCUGUUGUGAAAGCUCCCGGCUCAACUGGGAGAGGCCAACAGAAACUAUCGGGCUUGAGUAUAGGAGAGGUUACUGGAAUUCCCGGUGUAGCGGUGAAAUGCGCAGAGAUCGGGAGGAACACCAAUGGCGAAAGCAGGUAACUGGACUAUUACUGACACUCAACUGCGAAAGCUAGGGGAGCAAACAGG
Molecule: ribosomal RNA, 253 nt
Filed under: uncultured bacterium
Lineage: Bacteria
Description: partial 16S ribosomal RNA
Rfam family: Bacterial small subunit ribosomal RNA
Source: RNAcentral